Molecule: ribosomal RNA, 496 nt
Filed under: uncultured bacterium
Lineage: Bacteria
Description: partial 16S ribosomal RNA
Rfam family: Bacterial small subunit ribosomal RNA
Source: RNAcentral
GAUGAACGCUGGCGGCGUGCCUAAUACAUGCAAGUCGAGCGAACGGACGAGAAGCUUGCUUUUCUGAUGUUAGCGGCGGACGGGUGAGUAACACGUGGAUAACCUACCUAUAAGACUGGGAUAACUUCGGGAAACCGGAGCUAAUACCGGAUAAUAUUUUGAACCGCAUGGUUCAAAGGUGAAAACCGGCUUUCUUUUCCUUAUAGGUUGAUCCGCGCUGCAUUAGCUAGUUGGUAAGGUAACGGCUUACCAAGGCAACGAUGCAUAGCCGACCUGAGAGGGUGAUCGGCCACACUGGAACUGAGACACGGUCCAGACUCCUACGGGAGGCAGCAGUAGGGAAUCUUCCGCAAUGGGCGAAAGCCUGACGGAGCAACGCCGCGUGAGUGAUGAAGGUCUUCGGAUCGUAAAACUCUGUUAUUAGGGAAGAACAUAUGUGUAAGUAACUGUGCACAUCUUGACGGUACCUAAUCAGAAAGCCACGGCUAACUACGUG